CUUCACUCCUCCCGUUGAGCACCUCCAUUCCUAGUUCAGCCAACCUGUUCAGUAUGUGUCCCAAAAUGAAUGACUUGUCAAAGGUGCCUCUGGUUGCCAGCUGCUGUGGAACACAGCUGGGACCCCAGUCUCUAUAGGAGCUUUCCUCCUUUCCUCCAUAGGCCAGUGACAGCCUGAGGUCCCAGCCCUCUGAGGCAUUUGCAGAUUUGCAUAAUCACACAAACAAACCCAGAGAUAAACCCCUGAAUUGUGCAGGUGUACACAGCAGCUAGGGAGACUAAGACAGGAGUUCAAAGCCAGCCUCAGCAAAAGCAAGCUGUUAAGCAACUCAGUGAGGCUGGGAACCUGGCUCAGUGGACAAGUGCCCCUGAAUUGGGCCUUCAGCCAGUACUUUCAGCUCUUUGGAAGUUAAGGACAUCAGGGGGAAAGGGCAAUCUUCUAGGAACCCCUGAAGCCCCGCUCUAGGACAGCUGUCCUUCCAGCCUGGGACAUCCUGGGAGACAUAUAUCCACAGGCCUUCACAUCCGGUCUUGGGUGAUGGGAGGGCUCCACACCUCACUUAAGCACCUGAGCAGUUAUGCUAAAUCCCACAGAAGUUCUGGCACAAGUUCUGGACCUCAUUUUUUUGGCUGUUGACUGACCUUUGUUUUAUUUAUUUCUAUGAGUUGCCAAGAAUCAAACCCAGUGCCUCACACAUGCAAGGCAAGCGCUCUACCACUGAGCCACGACCCCAGCCCCCACAUGACCUCAUUUUUGCUGGAGUUGCAGCCCCUCCCAUCAGCACCUUUCUCAUUCCCUCCUCCACCUUUGUUCACAAAGGGGAAGCUUUGAGAACGCCUGCCAAACUCCCAGUUUCCAGAGA
This 862-nucleotide long non-coding RNA is filed under the name Marmota monax (woodchuck). The record is from RNAcentral. Lineage: Eukaryota; Metazoa; Chordata; Mammalia; Rodentia; Sciuridae.